GGCAUCCCCUCGUGGCGGGGCCCGCGGCCUAUCAGCUCGUUGGUAAGGUAAUGGCUUACCAAGGCGAAGACGGGUAGCUGGUCUGAGAGGAUGGCCAGCCACACGGGGACUGAGACACGGCCCCGACUCCUACGGGAGGCAGCAGUGGGGAAUAUUGGCAAUGGCGCAAGCCUGACCCAGCGACGCCGCGUGGGUGAUGAAGGCCUUCGGGUCGUAAAGCCCUGUCGGGUGGAAAGAACGACUGUGGGGCGAAUAGUCCUACAGUGUGACGGUACCACCGAAGGAAGCACCGGCCAAUUCCGUGCCAGCAGCCGCGGUAA
This 320-nucleotide ribosomal RNA is filed under the name uncultured delta proteobacterium. RNAcentral describes it as "bacterial SSU rRNA". It matches the Rfam family "Bacterial small subunit ribosomal RNA", at positions 210 to 523 of the family's 1533-position model. Lineage: Bacteria; Deltaproteobacteria. The record is from RNAcentral.